RNAcentral lists this ribosomal RNA (506 nucleotides) under uncultured bacterium. RNAcentral describes it as "bacterial SSU rRNA". It matches the Rfam family "Bacterial small subunit ribosomal RNA", at positions 28 to 533 of the family's 1533-position model. The record is from RNAcentral.
GACGAACGCUGGCGGCGUGCCUAACACAUGCAAGUCGAGCGGAGUCGAUCGACGGAAGCCUUCGGGCGGAAGAUGGUUGACUUAGCGGCGGAUGGGUGAGUAACGCGUGGGCAACCUGCCUCGAAGACCGGGAUAACAGCCCGAAAGGGCUGCUAAUACCGGAUGUGGUCAAGGAUCCGCAUGGAUUUUUGAUUAAAGGGGAAACCCGUUUCGAGAUGGGCCCGCGUCCUAUCAGCUAGUUGGUGAGGUAAAAGCUCACCAAGGCGACGACGGGUAGCCGGCCUGAGAGGGUGACCGGCCACACUGGAACUGAGACACGGUCCAGACUCCUACGGGGGGCAGCAGUGGGGAAUCUUCCACAAUGGGCGAAAGCCUGAUGGAGCGACGCCGCGUGAGCGAAGAAGGCCUCGGUUGUAAGCUCUGUCUGGAGGGACGAAGGAAGUGACGGUACCUCCGGAGGAAGCCACGGCUAACUACGUGCCAGCAGCCGCGGUAACACGAGAGUA